UCCCUGGUGGCUCAGACGGUAAAACGUCUGCCUGCAAUGUGGGAGACCCGGGUUCGAUUCCUGGGUCAGGGAG
Molecule: non-coding RNA, 73 nt
Organism: Bos taurus (domestic cattle)
Lineage: Eukaryota; Metazoa; Chordata; Mammalia; Artiodactyla; Bovidae
Source: Rfam